Molecule: ribosomal RNA, 253 nt
Filed under: uncultured bacterium
Lineage: Bacteria
Description: partial 16S ribosomal RNA
Rfam family: Bacterial small subunit ribosomal RNA
Source: RNAcentral
UACGUAGGGGGCGAGCGUCGUCCGGAAUCAUUGGGCGUAAAGCGCGUGUAGGCGGUCCGGUAAGUCCGCUGUGAAAGUCGGGGGCUCAACCCUCGGAUGCCGGUGGAUACUGUCGGGCUUGAGUACGGAAGAGGCGAGUGGAAUUCCUGGUGUAGCGGUGAAAUGCGCAGAUAUCAGGAGGAACACCAAUUGCGAAGGCAGCUCGCUGGGACGUUACUGACGCUGAGACGCGAAAGCGUGGGGAGCAAACAGG